GCGGAAGUGGCGGAAUUGGCAGACGCGCUAGACUUAGGAUCUAGUGUCUUUCGGCGUGCAGGUUCAAGUCCUGUCUUCCGCA
This is a non-coding RNA of Megamonas funiformis YIT 11815, 82 nucleotides long. The record is from Rfam. Lineage: Bacteria; Bacillati; Bacillota; Negativicutes; Selenomonadales; Selenomonadaceae.